GUCGAGAAUAAUUCACAAUGGACGAAAGUCUGAUGGUGCAACGCCGCGUGGAGGAUGAAGGUCUUCGGAUUGUAAACUCCUGUCAUCGGGGAGUAAGACCUGGCGGUAAAUAGCCGACAGGGUUGAUAGUACCCGAAGAGGAAGGGACGGCUAACUUCGUGCCAGCAGCCGCGGUAAUACGAAGGUCCCAAGCGUUGUUCGGAAUCACUGGGCGUAAAGGGAGCGUAGGCGGCGUGGUAAGUCAGAUGUGAAAUCCCGGGGCUCAACCCCGGAACUGCGUCCGAUACUGCCAUGCUUGAGGGUUGGAGAGGUAGCUGGAAUUCUCGGUGUAGCAGUGAAAUGCGUGGAUAUCGAGAGGAACACUCGUGGCGAAGGCGAGCUACUGGACAACAUCUGACGCUGAGGCUCGAAGGCCAGGGGAGCAAAAGGGAUUAGAAACCCCAGUAGUCC
RNAcentral lists this ribosomal RNA (450 nucleotides) under uncultured bacterium. Its description in RNAcentral is "partial 16S ribosomal RNA". It matches the Rfam family "Bacterial small subunit ribosomal RNA", at positions 354 to 796 of the family's 1533-position model. The record is from RNAcentral.